This 429-nucleotide ribosomal RNA is filed under the name Acidobacteriota bacterium. RNAcentral describes it as "Acidobacteria bacterium partial 16S ribosomal RNA". It matches the Rfam family "Bacterial small subunit ribosomal RNA", at positions 355 to 776 of the family's 1533-position model. Lineage: Bacteria; Pseudomonadati; Acidobacteriota. The record is from RNAcentral.
UGGGGAAUUUUGGACAAUGGGGGAAACCCUGAUCCAGCCAUCCCGCGUGUGCGAUGAAGGCCUUCGGGUUGUAAAGCACUUUUGGCAGGAAAGAAACGUCAUGGGUUAAUACCCCGUGAAACUGACGGUACCGGCAGAAUAAGCACCGGCUAACUACGUGCCAGCAGCCGCGGUAAUACGUAGGGUGCAAGCGUUAAUCGGAAUUACUGGGCGUAAAGCGUGCGCAGGCGGUUCGGAAAGAAAGAUGUGAAAUCCCAGAGCUCAACUUUGGAACUGCAUUUUUAACUACCGGGCUAGAGUGUGUCAGAGGGAGGUGGAAUUCCGCGUGUAGCAGUGAAAUGCGUAGAUAUGCGGAGGAACACCGAUGGCGAAGGCAGCCUCCUGGGAUAACACUGACGCUCAUGCACGAAAGCGUGGGGAGAAAACAGG